This 3711-nucleotide long non-coding RNA is filed under the name Gossypium barbadense (sea-island cotton). RNAcentral's name for it is "long non-coding RNA (GBAR_LNC010202)". Lineage: Eukaryota; Viridiplantae; Streptophyta; Magnoliopsida; Malvales; Malvaceae. The record is from RNAcentral.
GGAUUAAAAAGGAAAUGAAUAAAACGAUUGUAUUACCCAUGAGCAUUUACAAACCAAUAUUUGAAAAUACGUAAUGUAUUUUUGUUAAGGUGUAUUGUGGCCUUGAUUGAAGUUGAAAUUUGAAAUAGAAUAACGCCAAUGGUAGUAUUGAAUUUGUUGACACAUGCAAAGAAGGCGCCGGAGAAGAAAAGCAGGGGUGUCAUAAUGAAAACAAGUAAAAUUCCAAAGGGUGGAGUAUAAUGACAAGGUUUUUAAAUUUUAACCUUGGCUGUUUUUGGCAAAACCACGUGUGUAAGAAUUCAAUCCUCCUAUCAUCAAUUUUAGUUUAAUCUGUUAAAUAAAAAUAGAAAAUAAAGAAAAAAAUUAACAAAUAUAAUCGAAUAAUAAUAUAGAAAUAAGCAUUCAUUUCAAAAUUAUAACAACAAUAUUUUUAUAGAACAAAACAAUAAUAUUAAAUAUUUAUACUGAAGUUGAUUUUUUUUUUCUUUACUUCAUUUUGCACCAAUUCACCCCCUUCAACUUUAUAGUAUUAAUUGAACUUGUUGAAUCCAUUUUCUUUUUCCUAGAAAAAAAAGGGAUCGACUUUUAAAACCAAAUGUGGAGUCGCCAACAAUCUUUUUGUUUAAGUGUGAUUGGAUCAUUAUUAAAACAUUUUAAAACAAUUUUGGUCCACGUAAAUUUGAAAAUGGGUUCGGAAGCCGAUUACGUAUGAAGAAGGGUUAGCACCCUCAUUGCGCCCAAAAAUUGGUACCAGAUUGAUUCAAUGCUGUCCUCAUAUCAAAGUUUUUAGAAAGGAUUUUUGAAGUAUGGUUCUGUUUAAAACGUUUGAGUAGUUUAAGUUGGUCAUCAAAAUUCUCUUGUUUCAAAGGUACGUAGCAUCACAUCCAGCACGAUUGGAUACGAUUCUUCAUACCUUUGAAAACACAAUUGAUUUUUGACUUCCAAAAAUUCUUAAGUUAAAAAAAUAAAAGGAUAUCCAGAUAUUUAGUCCAACGAAAAAUUGAAACCCAGCACAGUAGGGCACGAUUUCUCGAAUUUUCAAAUAUUGAACAUUGCCUUGUCUUUAACAAUAAAUGAUUGUAAAUUAUCUCAAAACGCAUUGAUUUUAUUUGAAAUAAAAUGAAAUAAUUGAUUUUAAAGAGUUGAAAACCAUAAAGCAAUAUUUUGUAAACUAAAAGAAAAAUAAUAAUCAUGGUGUAUAAAAAUUCAAAACUUGGCGAACGAAGAUAAUAUGACUUUAUUUAACCAACUAAAAAAACAAACCAUUAUAUAACAUUAGUCCAAAAACAUAGAAUCAUAUUUUCAAACAUGAACCAAGAACAAUUGAAAUAGAACUACAAAAAUGGAAAAAAAUAAUGUACAACAAUAUUCAAUAAUCUAAUAUAACACAAUCAAAACAAAAUGUACCAAACAAAACAGAGAUUAGGAGUAUAAAACAAUUUGUAAAUAGUGAUGAAUUGAUGAACACAUGGUAUAUAUAAUAAAUGAAAUGAUGAAUUGAUGAAUUUGAAAUAAUUUGUAUAACCAAAAAAAUAUAUAUAAUCAUUAAAACGAAUAUUGUAGAAUGAAAACAUUUGAAUCAAAUUACAUGCAAAGUGUAAGAAACAUUUAUUUAAAACUAACAAUAUACACAAUAAAAGAGAAUUUAUAGAAUAUGAGUGGAUAAUGAAAUACAUAAUAAAAUAUAAUCUUAGGAAAUAAAUUACACCUAAUAGACUUACAAAACGUAUAUGUAUAUAAAUAAAUUUGGAAGCAAUUAUUUGUGAAAAUAGUAUGGAAUUUAUAACGUGUAUAAGAUUGAAUUAAUUUCAUCAUAAAUUGUAUAUGUAGUAGAUUUUAAAAACAUAAUUAUAUAUACAAAUAGAUUUAAAAGAAAUUAUAUGUAUAAAAUAACAUGGAUUUAAUGAUGUAUAUAGAUCAAACAUAUGUACCAAUAUAUAUGUAUAUAUAAUAAUUUAAAUAAUACAUAAGAUAUGUAGGAUUUUCCAUUAAAUAACAAAGAUAUAUAAUAAAAUAUGUGAAUAGAUUUAAAAGAAAUUAUAUGUAUAAAAUAACAUAAGAUUAACAAUAGACAUAGAAUAAAAUUAACUUUAUCAUGAAUUAUAUAUAUAUAAUAAUGUAUAAGAUAAAAAUAAAAUACAAUUAUCAAAGUAGCUCAAAAUAUAAAAAUAAGUAAACAAGAAUUAAAAAAUGGAUGUGAAAUGAAUCUUAAGAAAAUGAUGAAAAAAAACUUAAUUAAAAUAAAAUUAAAAUAAAAGGGAUAAUUUACAAAUGAAAUAAACUUUUGAAAUUAAAAUGAGGACUAAUGGGAAAUGCGUGUGAACGUGCAAGGAUUAAAAACGCAAUUUUCCAAGUUUCUGAACGCACCAUGUAAACAUGGAUCAAAUCAAAACAGCGCAUAAGUUUCAGGAAAGAAUUAAAAAAACAAAGAAACAUAAAUGGGACCUAAUCUGAUGACGGCAAAACGAGGGGGUACCAAAUGCGCAAUUAACUCAAAUCAACUAAGUGCGCGGAUCCUCCCCAAGUCGGGUCGGUUCACGCGCGGGUUCCUCCAUGCCUUGAACGGCACCGUUUUGAAGCCAUUGAAAUUGGCCCAAAACGACGCCGUCUGAUUGACGUACAAAAGCUAGCAAAUCAGGUAAAAAAAACCUAAGUAUCUCUAGAUGCUCUCAACCUCUUCAUCCGAACGCCGAUUCCGGUGAAAAGAAGGCAAUUGUGGUAGCAACGGACAAGUUUCAAGUGAGAUUUUUGCUCUCUUUCCCCUUUCCCUUUUAUCAUUUCUACAUGCAGUGGAUAAAAAUCAAAGAAAUAGAAUCGAAAAUUAAAAAAUCGAGAUCUGGAAUCAUCUUCUAAAAAAAAUGAUCUAGGAUCCUUUCUCUUUUUUCAAUAUCCGUGUAUACGGAUUGAGGAAAUAGAAACAAAAAUCAAAGAAGAAAACGAUCUAAAAUCCCCUUAAAAACUGAUUUCGAAUUGAUUUUUCUUUCUUUCAAUAUGCGUGUGUAUUUCUGUGAAAAGAGAUCCCUUUUACAUUCGAUUUCAUUGGCUUUUAUAGCCGAAUAAAAAGAAUAAUAAUAAUUAAAAAUACAAAAAAGUUCCCUUAGAUCUAUUUGCUGUCAAUCUGCUGUGAGUUGUUUUCUGUUAUUUUCUUCUCGCAGGUUCGAUUGUACGGAGGAGAACGCUUGUGGGGAUGAUGUGGAUGAGGCUCGGAGGCUCUGCGGAACCGCUCGUGGGAGCCUGACUCCCUGGCGUUGUUCUGGCACGUUCCAGAAGCUUCUGGUGCGUGUGAACUUGGUGGCUUAGGGUUUCUUGAGUGUUUUUUUGUUUUGGGUCAGGAUUUGGGUUAGGGGUUUAUUUUAUUUUGGGCUAAAUAAUUGGGCUUGUAACAGGGACAUUGGACCUAAUUAUUUUAGUUUUAUUUUGGUUUUGGUUCUGGUGUAAGCCCGAGCAGAUUUGGGCCUAUACAGAACUGAUUAAACUAUAAUUUUUUAUUCAAUCAAGUGAUCUGAUCAAAUUCUGGCAACCAUGGCAAGAACUCUUCCUUCUAUCAUGAUUUUUGAAUGCUUCUUGUUGGUUUGGACAUCAAAGUCUAAGCCAUCAUCGUUUGGCAUAUUAAUUUAUAUAGGUUAAAUUUUGCUAUUAGCCAUUAUAUUUUAUGUAAGUUGUGGAUUUGAUCCCAAUAUUUUAAUUUGGUCUUUUUUAAAUUUUAUUCUU